RNAcentral lists this unclassified non-coding RNA (271 nucleotides) under uncultured fungus. RNAcentral describes it as "partial contains 5.8S ribosomal RNA, internal transcribed spacer 2, and large subunit ribosomal RNA". The stretch from base 1 to 52 matches the Rfam family "5.8S ribosomal RNA", at positions 103 to 154 of the family's 154-position model. Lineage: Eukaryota; Fungi. The record is from RNAcentral.
AACGCACAUUGCGCCCGCCAGUAUUCUGGCGGGCAUGCCUGUCUGAGCGUCAUUUCAACCCUCGCGCCCGGCUUCUGCCGGGGGCGGUGUUGGGGAUCGGCCGCCCGUCACUGGGAGGCCGGCCCCUAAAUGGAGUGGCGACCACGCCGUAGCCUCCUCUGCGUAGUAGUAAUACCACCUCGCAGGCGGAGAGCGGUGCGGUCCGCCGUAAAACCCCCCAACUCUUUCCAAGGUUGACCUCAGAUCAGGUAGGAAUACCCGCUGAACUUAA